GCCCACCAAGGCGAUGAUGUGUAGCCGAUCUGAGAGGAUGACCGGCCACAUUGGGAGUGAGACGCGGCCCAGACUCGUACGGGAGGCAGCAGUAGGGAAUUUUCGGCAAUGGGGGGAACCCUGACCGAGCAACGCCGCGUGAACGAGGAAGGUCUUUGGAUCGCAGAGUUCUGUUGUAAGGGAAUAAACGAUCAUAUAGGGAAUGAUAUGAUUUUGACGGUACCUUACCAGAAAGCCACGGCUAACUACGUGCCAGCAGCCGCGGUAAUACGUAGGUGGCGAGCGUUAUCCGGAAUUAUUGGGCGUAAAGGGUGCGUAGGCGGCUUAAUAAGUUUGUGGUGAAAUCGUGGGGCUCAACUCCAUCAAGCCACAAAAACUGUCAAGCUAGAGAACAGUAGAGGCAAGUGGAAUUCCAUGUGUAGCGGUAAAAUGUGUAGAUAUAUGGAGGAACACCAGUGGCGAAGGCGGCUUGCUGGACUGUGACUGACGCUGAGGCACGAAAGCGUGGGGAGCAAAUAGGAUUAGAUACCCUAGUAGUCCACGCCGUAAACGAUGAAUACUAAGUGUUGGAGAAAUUCAGUGCUGCAGUUAACGC
RNAcentral lists this ribosomal RNA (595 nucleotides) under uncultured bacterium. Its description in RNAcentral is "bacterial SSU rRNA". It matches the Rfam family "Bacterial small subunit ribosomal RNA", at positions 263 to 858 of the family's 1533-position model. The record is from RNAcentral.